AACGAACGCUGGCGGCGUGCCUAACACAUGCAAGUCGAGCGAGAAAAUUCCCUUCGGGGGAGUGAGUACAGCGGCGAACGGGUGAGUACAACGUAGGUAACCUACCCCCGAGACUGGGAUAACCUGUCGAAAGACGGGCUAAUACCGGAUAAGACCACGAGGGCUGAGGCCCUUGGGGCAAAAGGUGGCCUCUGCUUGCAAGCUACCACUCGAGGAGGGGCCUGCGCGCCAUUAGCUAGUUGGGAGGU
Molecule: ribosomal RNA, 248 nt
Filed under: uncultured bacterium
Lineage: Bacteria
Description: partial 16S ribosomal RNA
Rfam family: Bacterial small subunit ribosomal RNA
Source: RNAcentral